UACAGAGGGUGCAAGCGUUAAUCGGAAUUACUGGGCGUAAAGCGUGCGUAGUCGGUUAUCUAAGUCGGGUGUGAAAUCCCCGGGCUCAACCUGGGAAUUGCAUUCGAUACUGGAUAGCUAGAGUUCGGCAGAGGGAAGCGGAAUUUCGGGUGUAGCGGUGAAAUGCGUAGAGAUGCGGAGGAACACCGAUGGCGAAGGCAGCCCCCUGGGCUAGCACUGACGCUCAGGUACGAAAACGUGGGGAGCAAACAAGG
RNAcentral lists this ribosomal RNA (254 nucleotides) under uncultured bacterium. RNAcentral's name for it is "partial 16S ribosomal RNA". It matches the Rfam family "Bacterial small subunit ribosomal RNA", at positions 524 to 777 of the family's 1533-position model. The record is from RNAcentral.